GAUGAACGCUGGCGGCGUGCCUAAUACAUGCAAGUCGAGCGAACGGACGAGAAGCUUGCUUCUCUGAUGUUAGCGGCGGACGGGUGGGUAACACGUGGAUAACCUACCUAUAAGACUGGGAUAACUUCGGGAAACCGUAGCUAAUACCGGAUAAUAUUUUGAACCGCAUGGUUCAAAAGUGAAAGACGGUCUUGCUGUCACUUAUAGAUGGAUCCGCGCUGCAUUAGCUAGUUGGUAAGGUAACGGCUUACCAAGGCAACGAUGCAUAGCCGACCUGAGAGGGUGAUCGGCCACACUGGAACUGAGACACGGUCCAGACUCCUACGGGAGGCAGCAGUAGGGAAUCUUCCGCAAUGGGCGAAAGCCUGACGGAGCAACGCCGCGUGAGUGAUGAAGGUCUUCCGAUCGUAAAACUCUGUUAUUAGGGAAGAACAUAUGUGUAAGUAACUGUGCACAUCUUGACGGUACCUAAUCAGAAAGCCACGGCUAACUACGUG
This 497-nucleotide ribosomal RNA is filed under the name uncultured bacterium. RNAcentral's name for it is "partial 16S ribosomal RNA". It matches the Rfam family "Bacterial small subunit ribosomal RNA", at positions 28 to 507 of the family's 1533-position model. The record is from RNAcentral.